GAUAAACGCUAGCGGCAGGCUUAACACGUGCAAGUCGAGGGGCAGCAUAGAUUGUAGCAAUACAAUUGGUGGCGACCGGCGCACGGGUGCGUAACGCGUAUGCAACCUACCCGUCACCGGGGGAUAAUCCGGAGAAAUCUGGGCUAAUACCCCAUAACAUACGGAUCGGCAUCGGUUCAUGUUGAAAUUUUCGGAGGUGACGGAUGGGCAUGCGUAGCAUUAGCUUGUUGGUGAGGUAACGGCUCACCAAGGCGACGAUGCUUAGGGGGACUGAGAGGUUUUCCCCCCAAACUGGUACUGAGACACGGACCAGACUCCUACGGGAGGCAGCAGUGAGGAAUAUUGGUCAAUGGGCGCAAGCCUGAACCAGCCAUGCCGCGUGCAGGAUGACGGCUCUAUGAGUUGUAAACUGCUUUUGUACGAGGGUAAAGUGGGUUACGUGUAACCUUUUGAAAGUAUCGUACGAAUAAGGAUCGGCUAACUCCGUGCCAGCCGCCGCGGUAA
RNAcentral lists this ribosomal RNA (504 nucleotides) under uncultured bacterium. Its description in RNAcentral is "partial 16S ribosomal RNA". It matches the Rfam family "Bacterial small subunit ribosomal RNA", at positions 28 to 523 of the family's 1533-position model. The record is from RNAcentral.